RNAcentral lists this ribosomal RNA (486 nucleotides) under uncultured bacterium. RNAcentral's name for it is "partial 16S ribosomal RNA". It matches the Rfam family "Bacterial small subunit ribosomal RNA", at positions 29 to 507 of the family's 1533-position model. The record is from RNAcentral.
AUUGAACGCUGGCGGCAUGCCUUACACAUGCAAGUCGAACGGCAGCACGGGUGCUUGCACCUGGUGGCGAGUGGCGAACGGGUGAGUAAUACAGCGGAACAUGUCCUGUAGUGGGGGAUAGCCCGGCGAAAGCCGGAGUAAUACCGCAUACGAUCCACGGAUGAAAGCGGGGGACCUUCGGGCCUCGCGCUAUAGGGUUGGCCGAUGGCUGAUUAGCUAGUUGGUGGGGUAAAGGCCUACCAAGGCGACGAUCAGGAGCUGGUCUGAGAGGACGACCAGCCACACUGGGACUGAGCCACGGCCCAGACUCCUACGGGAGGCCGCAGUGGGGAAUUUUGGACAAAGGGCGAAAGCCUUAUCCAGCAAUGCCGCGUGUGUGAAGAAGGCCUUCGGGUUGUAAAGCACUUUUGUCCGGAAAGAAAUCCUUGGCUCUAAUACAGUCGGGGGAUGACGGUACCGGAAGAAUAAGCACCGGCUAACUACGUG